AAAAAAAAAAAAAAAGGCCAUUUCGCCCAAGUUAGAUAGGUAGACUCUGACCACAGUUACAUAAGGAUAAGCCCACAAGGGUUCGAUCAGAAGGGCUAAGGGAGUCCAGGGAGGGUUUGUUAAUUCUCUAGUUGGGAAAAAAGUGAUUUGAGAAAAGGAACGGGAAAGUUAGAAAAAUAGGUGUGAGAAAAGGACAAGAGAUUUAAAUUUUUUCUUUGUUUGGAUGGGUUAUAUAGAU
This 238-nucleotide unclassified non-coding RNA is filed under the name Hevea brasiliensis (rubber tree). The record is from RNAcentral. Lineage: Eukaryota; Viridiplantae; Streptophyta; Magnoliopsida; Malpighiales; Euphorbiaceae.